This is a long non-coding RNA of Heterocephalus glaber (naked mole-rat), 1824 nucleotides long. The record is from Ensembl. Lineage: Eukaryota; Metazoa; Chordata; Mammalia; Rodentia; Bathyergidae.
GCUGGACACAGACCACACCCAGCAGUCCCUUUGCCUGUCCCCAAAUUGUGGAAAUUUUUUCCUUCUGUUUUUUGGUACUGGGGAUCGAACUCGGGUCCUUGCGCUUGCACAGCAGGUGGCGAAACCACUGAGCUAAAUCCCCAGCCCUGGAAAUUUUUUCUUAAUAGGUGAGCUAAACCAAAUUAAACAGGUUUCUUUCCUGGCAGAUAUCUUUGGUUAACAUGUUAAUGUGUACGUAAGGGGUGUGUUAAACAACCUGGUUUCAUAACAUACCCGAAAUUCAACUUUUCUUUUUUGUUUCCUACAGGCCUCAUAAAGCUUAUAAGCAAAGAAAAUCUUCCCUUUCCAGGAAGCAAAGUCUGGUAGACAUAGGGAUUGUCAAGGGCCUGCAUCCUGGUUUCCUCCUUGUCACCUGACAGAGAGGCUGGAGGCUGGUCCUGCUGCCUGAAGAUCCCAAUCUCAAGAUGCCCCCCUUCCCACCCCCAUGGUCAGUUCUGUGCACACAUCUCUCACAGCAGAGAACAGGGAAGGGCCAGCAGGGGUAGGGGCUGCUUUUGUUCACCAAGCCCCAUUUCAUCCAGAAUGCCAAUGCAUAUGGAGCUCCAGAGUUCUGGAACUAGGCGAACAUACAAGUGGAGGCUUCAGCUAGCCUCAGAUGGAAGAUGGAGGCAGGAAGGACAUCAGAGCCCAGGAGGGCAACUGGAGCCACAGGCUGCCUCUCUCCCAGCAGCUCUACGAAGUUCUGGCUGAAAAGUUAUCCCAGACAACUACAUGUGAUGUGGAAGAACACGAACACUGGUAUCCACUGUGGGCACCUUACAUUCUUUAUGCCACCUAAUAUGGCCAAGAGACAGACAUGUAUGUGUACCCACGGAGGGAACAGAUUCAAGAGGCCAAGGGACUUACCCUAGGCCAGCACACCUGCAGCUGGAGUUCAAGUGCACAUUUCCCCUCUCAGGCUUUGGCUCUACCUUUUGCAAAUAAAGGCUGGCCACCCAUGUGAGCCAACUAAAAUAACCUUCCCUCCCCAGACCAGGUAUUUAAGAAAAUUCCAAUCACAGGAAAGCGACUAGGUUGUUCCCCAGCAAUUCACAUGACAAGGGACAUGUGCAUUCCUUAAAUUUCCUGAGAGGUUGUUUCCCACAAGCUGUUUUGAAGUCACUGGGGAGGACUUGGCCAUCAGAAGGUUGGAGCUUGGUGUGGCCUGGGUACAGACGAGGAGCACCUCACUAGGGAAGGUCAAGAUGUGGGCCACCAUAAGUCAGAAGUCUGCACCACCAGACUGUCUUACGCAGCUAGGACAUUUAAACACGGAACAUACAUAGGAAAAGGCAGAAUCAGGAUGUCAUCAGAUGCUGGGUCCUGAACACAGAGACCUUGCAUAGUCCCUUAUUUCACCUCUAUUCACUGGCCUCUUAAUUUUCUCUUCCUUUUGGCCAAUCUUUUGCUAAAUGACAAUGUCAGAUUUAUCUGAGCUUUUACAUACAUUGCAGAGAUGUAUCAUAUUCCCUUUGGAGGUUUUGUUUCGUUUUGGGACAGUGUCUUGCUAUGUAGUUCAGGCUAGCCCUGAACUCACCAUGUAGCCCAGGCUGGCUUCAAACUCACAACACUCCUCCUGCCUCAGCCUCCUGAGUGCUGGGAUUACAGGAUACCACACCCGCCUUUGGAGGGUUUAAAAAAUUUUUUUUUGUCUUCAGGGCUAUGCUCUUGUUUGAAAUGCGCUACAUAACCCACAGGACCCAUCCAGGACACAUGAGGGUCCUCACUGGGUGCAGAUGGUAAUGUGCUUUUCUGGGUUUCAGAUAUCUGGUUUACCAGGUAGGG